Molecule: long non-coding RNA, 6299 nt
Organism: Neopsephotus bourkii (Bourke's parrot)
Lineage: Eukaryota; Metazoa; Chordata; Aves; Psittaciformes; Psittacidae
Exons: 7
Source: RefSeq, a predicted model, not a curated record
UCCUCCCAGAAGGAUGCUGGAGAGGCAAAGACCAACAAGUCUAACCUGGGGACCCAUGUGCCUUUCCUGCAAGGUCUGUUAAAGGUUAGUAGCAUAUUCAUCUCUGUAUUAUAAUACAGCCCAAAACCUGAAGCAAAGAGAAGGAAUUUCCUGUUGCUGUGAAGAACAUCAGAUAGUCUGCAUGGCCAUGGUAUACCAGGACCUGUCUUCUCUCUCUCUCCUGCCAAACCACAUUUAGGGAGGUCUUGUGCUGCAAUGCUGUGGAAAGGAACAGCCCUUGCUUUCCAUUCCAACUGCUUUUGUUUGGACAGGUAAGUAUGGAUGUGAAUUCCUCCCUUCUGAAAAGGCCAGAUGAGCCUGUUCCAGGUGACAGGGAUACAAACUGAAAGGGCUUCUAUGGAUUUAAUGGGAAAGGCAUAUUUUAACAGAGUUCUUUUUGUUCCAGAAGACUGACUUGGCCUACAAGGAAAUGGAUGGGAAGUAGUACAGGCAAGAGGCGUGGAUGAGCUGCACAGCAUCUCACCAUUCCUGGGCAGCAGCCUAGCCAUGGGGCCUGUUUUCUGUCUCACAGCUUUCCAUGGAAUGAGAAAAAUAAAAAUAGAGCCUUGGGCAAGAGCCGGAGCCUGGAAAAUCUGAUCCCAAAAGGUGGAUGCAUUGUGGAGUAGGGAGCAUGUGAAAACAGCUGCUUAAACUGAAAUCAUUUCAUAGAUUGAAGUACAGAAACUCCCCCAAGCCUGUCUAAAACCUGGAGUGAACUCUUCUUGAAAGGCAGAGGUAGAAGAGGCCAUCAGCAACUCACCUGAACCACUCCCAAAGCCACAGGUGGCUGCAGGACCCAGAGAGAAGCCAAGUCAAAUGAGAAGAGGCUUUUGGACCAUGUAAGGACUACUGCAGCACGUUGUGCAGUGGAGGAAGGGCUGGUGUGAGGUGAGAGCCAAAACUACACUGCCCUGCUCCAUGAAAACCAGUGGACACGCUGCUGAAGGUUAAUACUGCUUUCCUGUGCACUCAGGAGUUCAAAAGGGGCUGCCUUAUGGGAUGCUUUAAGGAGAUGCCUUAUGUUCAGCCCCAUCCCACUGAGGUCCUCCCAGAGGACCCCUGAGGACAGCAGUGGGGGGCAGUGGUGCUUCAGCUUGAUGCCUCCUUCCCAGCUUCAUUCUUAAUGGGCACUGGUGAGCAUUUAGGCUCUGCGGGUCACUAGGAAUGAGCUGAUUUCUGUCGAGUUACUACAAGGUGUGAUUAUGAAGUGUUAGGAUAUACGGGCUGCAGGGUUUUACAGCUGGGUCUUAAAGGGCUCAUAACAAGAACAGAAAGGAGGGGGGGGUGGGGCUUAAACUGGAAGCCAGGAGCACAGUCAAGUUAGGAGUACAAUGGCAAUGCUAAUUCCAAUCCCUUGGAGAGAAGGGGGAAGGAAAUGACCUAACUCCCAGUGCUGUCAAGGGAGAGGCAAGCCAGAGGCUGGAGAGGCUCCCUUGGGUGAUGGGAGAUAAAGCCUUAACAUCUCCUUUCUCCCCUACCUCAGAGCAGGUGAGUGUCCUUGCUUUGUCAGGAGGGCCAGGAGGGGCAUACAUGCCAUGGAGAAUUUAGUAGAAUCCCAGCCUGGUUUGUGUUGGAAGGCACCUUAAAGCUCAUCCAGUUCCAAUCCUCUGCCACAGGCAGGGACACCUUCCACUAGAGCAGGUUAUCUCCAGCUGUCUCUCCUUCCCUGCUCUACAGGGAUCUACUGGAGACAAGGUUUCUUACAGGGUCAGGUCUUUCUCUAUGUUAUUGGCCUCCAGCACUUUGCUGUUUCCUAAGUGUUUUUGGCAGUGUGAAAUGCCACAGCAUGUUUUGUGGCAUCAAAAGACUCACUUCCCAGAGGUAAAGAGUGGACCUUACAAACUCAGUUGUGGUAGUGCUAAUGCACUGUCUUGGUGAGCAAGGAAAAUACUCUGUCAUUACAAUAAGUACCUAAGUAGGAUGGCAAAGUAGCUGGCAAAGCUGAUCCACCCUCCUUUCCUCAUGGGAAAGCCAAGUUCUCUGCAUUCGAUUUUCUUUUUUCCCUAUGUUUAAAAUGACUCAACCCCUUUCCUCUGUGUUCUGGAAGGCUUUUCAACAUGGUGAAACCACACAGCAGCAAAUCCACAGCUGAGUAAGUCCACAGAGAACUGAUCUCACCUACUUGCAAGAACCAGUGCUACAUUUGCUUCUGGUUCAACAGUGGAGAGGAAAAGGAAGGAAGAGGACAUUUUAGCAAAGGACCUGGCAGCACAGCAUGGAAGGCACAACUGGCCAGGUUUUGUGUCUCUCUCUGCAGCACACAAGGUGAUGGUUCUAAUGCAUCUCCAGCCUGGGACUUCUUUAUUGAGCCGAGAGGUACAAAGUCAGGCUCAUUUGUUAACAGAAACGUUGCAUCACUGAUAGGAGAAAGAUUCUUUAAGAGGUAUUAUCAGAACAGUCCAUGUUAUUUCUUUAAUGGAAGCUGACUUUUGGUAACCAAGAUGUUUUAGAGGGCCUCUCUGGAGCCACUUCCAACCUACAUGAAAGCAAGCAGAGCAAAAAUGGGCAGGGGUUGGUUUGAAAUACCAUGAAGGAAACAGAAGCCCCUUGGCUGGGAGUGAGGGGAGGUGGUUAAACGUGUCAAGAGUUCAUUUUCAUUCCUUAAUUAGCUCUAACCCUUGUGCCCUGCCCCAGCGAGGGGAAGGCAGGCGGGGAGCGCUGCCCUGUGCUGCAGCGGAGUGGGGACAACAACCGGAGACAUGUUUUAUGUUCACACCCCACCUCGGAGGUAGGCCGGCAUCCAGAGCAUGCCGUAAACCAGGCAGGAAUGCCGCUGCCUGGAAACAUGCUCGUAAUUUUUGUGCCACUCUUUCCAAGAGACACCUUUCCUCAUGUAACUGUUCUCAAACCACAACAUGUUCCCAUUCCCCUCCUGAUAAUGCUUUGUAGUUUCUCUCUUUUUAAUGCUGAGUUUGGAGUAAGGGGGGGGGGUUAGUGCUUGUUUUGCUUAGUUUCCUUAAAUCCCCCCUCACCAGAACAGCCAGGGGGCUUCUUUUCCCCUUUUAUUCUCUUAGGGCUCAAUUCAAUAAAUAUACAUCCGGCUCCUUCGCAGUCCUAGGCUGGCUUAAUGAAACUGUGCAAGGCACUUCCAAGAGAAGGAUGUUUAUUUUUCUCUGCUGAUUCGGUUAGACUGGUCCAGCUCUUGUGUGCCCAGAGAGCUGCUCUAUAAAGAGACCCUUAUGAUUGCAGUGGGGAUGCUGUGUCAGGCGGUAAGUGCCUGCACUCACUCAACACUGGGAUUCUCUUACUGCAGGGAAAGGGGUGCAGGCAGAUGGCUGGAUUUGCUAUAUACAAUGCACGGGGAUAAAAAAGCCUGCUAAGAGCACAGUGUUAAGGUGGGAAAGUCAAGCACUUGCAAGGCAGAUAGAGCUAGAGCUGUCUGGAGAGCAGGCUUAAUUCAUCUGUUUAUGGGAGCACAUUAUGAAACACGCUCCCAUUUUUGCAUAGUCCUGUGCUUGUUUCUUAGGUAAUAGCAUUUUCUAGCUUUUGCCAGAACUUGCCACCUUCACAGUGUACUUUCUCCACAGAUAAUCCAACACCACAAAGAUCCCAAUGCCUGUUCCUAGCUGGAAGCAGCAGUGAAGUCAAGCGGCUCCAAAAGGAAGGUGGAGAUGUAGAUACUGCUGUGGUGGACUUGGUGAGCCUUUUAUCACUAAUGCAGGCUUAUGAGCUGCUUGGUCAGUGCUGGUGAGACCAAGUUUGAUGGCAGCAGCCCUACUGCAAGACACUGGGAGUCCCUUAGGCCUGCCUCAAAUGCCUUGAUGGGUCGGACUACAUGAAUUUCAAAGGUCCAUCCAACCCAAACCAUUUAACUUCUCUAUGUGUCAGGAGGCAAUCACUGCUCUGGGACAUUCUGCCUCUUUGCAAUAAAGUAUGAAAACCUGGCAGCAGCAGUGGGGAUGGACACAUGCAGAAAAGCCAGAUGCAUUCAGAUGCCAGUAGUUCAGGGUGAUUGCUGUCCUCUUUGGGCCUGGCAUUGAAUGUUCACAGAAUAAACCAUGUUCUUUGCCUGAGGGACAUUCAGCCAAAGCCACAAGGCAGAGUAAGUGUCCCUCUGACAACGCCAGCAUUGUCAGCAAUAAGCAGUGGGAAAUCAGGAGUCAGGUCCCUCCUGAUCCUUAGUUCCUGAUGUGCAAUUGAUUUUGCAAAGCACCAGAUUCAAAACAACCCAUGGAUUUAGUUCUUUUGUUUUUGCCUUCCCAUUCACAAUCUCAGUUUCCUACCCAGUGAGGAAGCCCACAGUGUAUUUCUGAAUGAAAGCUGAGUGCCUUUCACAGCAUCUUUGGCUCUGCUUCCCAUGACAUGGGAUUAGGAAAUCUCCAUCUUCCCACUGAAAGGAGGGAGGGCGAUGGCUCAGGGAGCAUCAGAGACCUGCCAAAAAUCACAAAGUGAGGGGCAGGGGUGGGAACCCAGUUCCUAUGAGUGGUAAUCUGCUACCUUCCUACUUGUCUUGCCCUCAGCUGCUUUGGGACGAGCCGAUCUUGUUGCUUUGAGUUAGAUUUGCUUCCUAGUUUGCUACUUACGACAAUGUUUAAUGGUUUUAAUAAACCAGAAGGCAUUCCUUUCAAAUUAGGUUGAUCUGCAAAACCCAACCAAGUGUUUCCAUUACUACAGCUGCUUCUCCCUUCAGCUGAGGACAGAGGCAGUGUGCUGCAGGCUGGAAAGGGUGUCCAUUCAUCUACAGGUUGCUGUCAGCUCUUGGGAGAAAUGGCCAUCUGGAGCCUUCCUCUGGUGGCAGAUGUGGGAACAUCAAAGGAGAAGCAGGCACCUCCUUCAGCUCAGUCACCAAACAGAACACCUCCUUGCAGGCAGGUUAGAAAACAACAUAAAAUCUGCUGAAGACAAGUUUCCAUUGACAGCAAAGAGCUGCCCAGAAAUGAGUCACGCAGGAAUGGUUCAGACCUCCCCCACUCUCACCAGGGGAUUUGCAGACAAAAGGGAUUUAUUUAUUUAUGGGGUUUUUUUGCUAUUUUUUCUUUUCAGAAAAUACUCAGAUUUUGAUGGAAAAAUACAACGGGGAAGUUUUUUUUCCCCUUUGUUUUUGCCUUUUGAACAACUUCUUUCACCACUUGUGUGGAAUUCUGAGAAAUACCUUGAGGAAAAGCAAGUGCGGGAAAAAAGAGAAGAGCUGUAACAGCUUGGGAGGAGAAGAGUUCAUUUCAUAGAUCAUAGAAUCACAGGAUAGUUUGGGUUGGAAAGGCCCUUAAAGCUCAUCCAGUUCCAACCCCCUGCUACGGACAGGGACACCUUCCACUAGAGCAGGUUGCUCCAAGCCCUGUCCAACCUGGCCUUGAACACUGCCAGGGACGGGGCAUCCAAAUACUUGUAAGCAUGUUUGCUCCAUGAGCUGGGGGCCUGUGGCCAAGGUAUGUGCUGCCACCCUCUUUCAACCUAACCCACACCUCUCUGAGUACAACCAGGAUGAAAUGCAACCUGCUAUGGAGCCAGUUUUCCUUAAGGGUGUCAUUGCAUGGUGAAGCCAGUGUAAUCUUUCCUCUGCGACCACCUUGGGGCUGGCAUGCUCCAUGCAGGACUGACUGUGCUGCUCAGCUGGGAGCAGCAGGGGUACUGGUCAUCUGUCUCAUUUUGUGCCAUGAUGAAGAUGAGAGCAUGUCUGUAAGUACAGAAAUACAUAACAAUUGGUGGAGGAGAGAGAACACUGUGGUUAAAUGGAGGCAUUUGCUGCAAGAACUGAAUGAACCUCAAAUCGUGAGUGAUCCAGACACUGGUGUUCCAGCUUCAUCUGGCCUGUUUACCCUCACUUUGUUCCUCUCUGCUUUGACCAUGGGGACAAAUCCCAUAUUACAAGUAAACACUGCUACAUCCUCUGCUGCCCUUCCUUGCCUGUCUGCACUUUCCCCACGGGAGAAGAGAGAAGAGCCAGCUCUGCAUGACACAGUGAGUAAACAAGUCUAUUUUAAAGACUGAUUGUGCUGAGUAGGAGUGGCCUUUCCCUAAGAGCUUUGAAAACUGGCAUUGCAUUUCUGCUGGGAAAGCACUAAAGUACAAAGGUUUCUGUCCCUUGCACUAACCGUCCCCUUGUGCACACAGGCAUUAAUGGCUUUUGGUCCAGGGCCAUGUGUAUGAAAGCCCAUGGACUAACAUGCCUUUUUCCUCUGGAUGAGACCAGCAAUCCAACACCACCCUUUGCAGCUGGAAGAGCUUAUUAAAUCUAGUCCCAUUAAGUCUGUGAGGGCUGCGGACAAUGCAACGGCUAAGAAAGCUGCUCUGGUCUGCCUUGUGCUAUAUUCAGGCACAGC